CAGCCGCCGCGGGAAUACGGAGGGCGCGAGCGUUACCCGGAUUUACUGGGCGUAAAGGGCGUGUAGGCGGCCUGGGGCGUCCCAUGUGAAAGGCCACGGCUCAACCGUGGAGGAGCGUGGGAUACGCUCAGGCUAGAGGGUGGGAGAGGGUGGUGGAAUUCCCGGAGUAGCGGUGAAAUGCGCAGAUACCGGGAGGAACGCCGAUGGCGAAGGCAGCCACCUGGUCCACUUCUGACGCUGAGGCGCGAAAGCGUGGGGAGCAAACCGGAUUAGAUACCCCCGUAGUCCCUGUCUCUUAUAA
Molecule: ribosomal RNA, 301 nt
Filed under: uncultured bacterium
Lineage: Bacteria
Description: partial 16S ribosomal RNA
Rfam family: Bacterial small subunit ribosomal RNA
Source: RNAcentral